CGAACGGGUGAGUAAUACAUCGGAACGUGCCCAGUAGUGGGGGAUAACCCGGCGAAAGCCGGACUAAUACCGCAUACGACCUACGGGUGAAAGCGGGGGAUCGCAAGACCUUGCGCUAUUGGAGCGGCCGAUGUCAGAUUAGCUAGUUGGUGGGGUAAAAGCCUACCAAGGCGACGAUCUGUAGCUGGUCUGAGAGGACGACCAGCCACACUGGGACUGAGACACGGCCCAG
RNAcentral lists this ribosomal RNA (232 nucleotides) under uncultured bacterium. Its description in RNAcentral is "partial 16S ribosomal RNA". It matches the Rfam family "Bacterial small subunit ribosomal RNA", at positions 99 to 334 of the family's 1533-position model. The record is from RNAcentral.